RNAcentral lists this ribosomal RNA (493 nucleotides) under uncultured bacterium. RNAcentral's name for it is "bacterial SSU rRNA". It matches the Rfam family "Bacterial small subunit ribosomal RNA", at positions 21 to 507 of the family's 1533-position model. The record is from RNAcentral.
GGCUCAGGAUGAACGCUAGCGGCAGGCUUAAUACAUGCAAGUCGUGGGGCAGCAUGAGUAGCAAUACUUGAUGGCGACCGGCAAACGGGUGAGGAACACGUACACAACCUUCCUUCAAGCGGGGAAUAGCCCAGAGAAAUUUGGAUUAAUACCCCAUAAUAUAUUUGAUAAGGCAUCUUAUUAAUAUUAAAGCUUCGGCACUUGAUGAUGGGUGUGCGGCUGAUUAGAUAGUUGGCGGGGUAACGGCCCACCAAGUCUACGAUCAGUAGCUGAUGUGAGAGCAUGAUCAGCCACACGGGCACUGAGACACGGGCCCGACUCCUACGGGAGGCAGCAGUAAGGAAUAUUGGACAAUGGACGAAAGUCUGAUCCAGCCAUGCCCGCGUGAAGGAUUAAGGUCCUCUGGAUUGUAAACUUCUUUUAUAUGGGACGAAAAAAGGGCAUUCUUGUUCACUUGACGGUACCAUAUGAAUAAGCACCGGCUAACUCCGUG